This 460-nucleotide ribosomal RNA is filed under the name uncultured bacterium. RNAcentral's name for it is "partial 16S ribosomal RNA". It matches the Rfam family "Bacterial small subunit ribosomal RNA", at positions 338 to 795 of the family's 1533-position model. The record is from RNAcentral.
CCUACGGGUGGCAGCAGUGAGGAAUAUUGGUCAAUGGUCGGGAGACUGAACCAGCCAAGCCGCGUGCGGGAUGAAGGUACAGAGUAUCGUAAACCUCUUUUGUCAGGGAACAAAGGCGGGGACGUGUCCCCGGAUGAGUGUACCUGAAGAAAAAGCAUCGGCUAACUCCGUGCCAGCAGCCGCGGUAAUACGGAGGAUGCGAGCGUUAUCCGGAUUUAUUGGGUUUAAAGGGUGCGCAGGCGGUUUGUUAAGUUAGCGGUGAAAUGCCGGGGCUCAACCCCGGCACCGCCUUUAAAACGGGCAGUCUAGAGUUGGAGAGAGGUAGGCGGAAUGCGAGGUGUAGCGGUGAAAUGCAUAGAGAUCGCGCAGAACACCGAUUGCGAAGGCAGCAUGCCGGCUCCACACUGACGUUGAGGCACGAAAGCGUGGGUAUCGAACAGGAUUAGAUACCCCAGUAGUC